This 19099-nucleotide long non-coding RNA is filed under the name Populus trichocarpa (black cottonwood). RNAcentral's name for it is "long non-coding RNA (PTRI_LNC004152)". The record is from RNAcentral. Lineage: Eukaryota; Viridiplantae; Streptophyta; Magnoliopsida; Malpighiales; Salicaceae.
UGCUGGUUAUGGAAAAUAAUCACUGCAAUAUAAAAUACCAUAUAUAUAGGAUUUGUUGGUGCUAGUUAUAAAAGACAAUCUCUAUAAUAAUUAUUACAAUAUUCCCUUAAAUAACACGUGUAGAAAUUUUUUAUAUAAGUAAACCUCCAGUCAUAUAUAUAUAUAUAUAUAUACCGGGGAAGAAAAAUAUUCACAAGGAGGCAAUUUUUCAAAAAAAAAGAGAGCCGCACACAAAAAAAACCCUAAAAAUAAAAAAAAACCUAAACCCGUUUCUCUUUCUUAGCCGCAGCCCCUCCUCUCUUAAAAAACAAAAAAAACCGCCGCCCGUAGCCCCACCUUCUUCUCCUCCCACAGCAGCCGACCAGAUCGUUCCCCUUGCCCUCCCAUCUCUCCAGCCGCCCAUCCUCCUUUCCCACAGAAGAAAGCAGCUGCCGCCCUUCCCCUUUUUUGGGACCAAAACCAGAGAGCACCUCACGGUUCUUCUUCCCCAUCGCCAUUUUUCAGCACUCGAAACCCCCGACUCUUUUUUGUUUUUUGCCUCAGCUGACCGAAACCUUCAGCCUUCCACCAUCUCCUUCCCCCACAAGCCAACCAACCCCAGCUCCUCCACAAUACAGCCCCAGCCAUACUCUCCCCGAUGUCUGCCUCUUAAUCUCCAAAAUCAAAGCCAACUCUCCCCAUUUUUCCAGCCAAUCGCCUCCCAGACCCGCACACACUGCCUCCUCUCCAUUUCCCCUCUCCAUCGUCCUCUCCUUUCUCAGCCGACCCACAGCCAUCACAGACCGGACCAGCCACCAGCAACAGCAAAGACGCAACACUUCUACAGAGCCAGCAACCCCUCCCCUCUCCGUAGCGGCUCCACCGGACGCGGGCGACAGCAGCGAAACAACAGCCCACAGACCCACCGCUGUCCCUUUCCCCAGCGGCGACACCCACAGCUCCGACCUCUAACACUCCUUCCACAACCUCCAAAUCAGCCACCGAAGAAGGGAAGAACAACAAACCAUAACUGAAAACAGACAAAAAAAAAACAGAUCCGAAAGAGAAGAAAAAAAGAUAAAAUCAACUGUUUGCGGCCUUUUUUUUGUGUUUUGCAGGUCACCGCCGGCGAGGAAGGCAAGAGAGGAGGAAGCCGCUCCAGAUCCCCCAGCUGCCCGGACGCGCCGCCAGUGUUCCUGCUUUCCCAGAAGUGUUCCUCUGCAAUUCCUGAAUAUUUGGGGUCUAUUUUGCAAUUUUUGAAUUGUAUAUCAUGUGUAGAUUUGUUUUGAAUUUAUGUUAUUUGUAAUUAUAUAUGAGUGUACGAGAAAAACAUAAUAAAAAGGGGAUGUGUGUGUAUGUAGUUUUUUAUGUAUGUUAUUAAAUUAUAAAAUCAAAAAGAUAAAAAAAUGAAUUUAUUGUUUUAAUUUGGUGUAUGGUCGAGUAUUUGAAGGACAAAUAAAAUUAUGUUGUAUUUCUCGUGAAAAUAUAAGAACAUGUUUCUAUGUAUAUUCUGGGAUUUAAUAUUUGAUUUAUUAAAGCCGUAAGAAUUUGACUAAUUUGACUUUAAUUGUGAUUAAAUGUAAUGUUUGUGUUUUUGAUAAAGAAAAUAUAAAAAAAAUGUUUUUGUGUGUUGCAUACAGCUAAUAUCCUAACAUGAUUUGAACGUUUUUUUUAUAUAUAUAAAAAAACAAAUAUUUGAAGUUUUGAAAAUAUGUUUUCGCAUGGAUUUCUUAAACACAAAAAUUAUUUUCUUGCAUUUCUGGAUUUUUCAACAUGUUUGUAAAACUCCAAAGGGUGUUGGCCAAUAUUCCAAAAAAUAUAAAAAUCUUAUUUUGGGGAGAAAUCAUUUAGUAUUCACCAUUAAUGUUUGGAUAAAGAAAUCUCAAAGGGAUGAAUAUCCAAAAUAUUUAAUGGGAAUAACUUGUUAUUAUUCACUGUUAAUAUUUGGAUAAAGAAACCCUAAGUGGUAAAUAUCCAAAAUAAUUUUCUAGGGAUAAUAAGUCAUCACACAUCCUUGAAAGAAGCCUUGAUUAUAAUCGAGGACGUUUCAUUUGUUUACUCCACGGUUUACAAGCCGUGAGAGUAUAAAACACUAAGGCAAAAAAUGGCUUUUAAAGCGCCCUAGAUUUCUAAAUUUUUGUCCCUCCUUGCGAUUUACGAGUCGCAAACUCUUGAAAUACUAAGGGGAAAAUGAGCUUUUAAAGCACAUGGAAUCUCCUUGGAUUUCUAUCUUAAUAAAUUUAGUCUGAAUCAAACACAGAUUUUAAGAGAUCUGCAUUGUUUCUCCCUGGUACUUUGUAGACAUAUCUAAGGGUGUGAUCCACAUUGACCAAGGUUUAUUUAUUUUUAAAACUUUCAGUCCAAAUCCAUUCAUCAUAGCAAAACGUAUCCUAGGAAAACACCAACACCAUAGCAAUUAUAAAGCAAACCAAACACCAAGCAGCUUACCUUAGGUAGGGCGUACUAGGGGUGCUAAUACCUUCCAUUUACGCAACCAGUCCCUUGCCUUAGAAUCUCUGAAAGACCAGUUAGGGUUCCUAGUGCCAUAAUACUAGGUGGCGACUCCCUUAUUCACAAUAAAACAAAAAGACCCCAAAAUCAAUCGAGGAUCGCCGCGACGCUGCGCUCCGCCACGAGGGUGCGACUACACAGGGGACCCUUUGGACUAAGCUUGGUAAUUGUUUUUUUUUUAUGCUAUGUGUUGUUGUUUUUUUUUUUACUAUGAAUGACCCUUUGGACCCUUUUAGAGAUUCUAAGGCAAGGGACUGGUUGCGUAAAGGGAAGGUAUUAGCACCCCUAGUACGCCCUACCUAAAGUAACCUGCUUGGUGUUUGGUUUGCCUUAUAAUUGCUAUGGUGUUGGUGUUUUCCUAGGAUACAUUUUACUAUGAUGAAUGGAUUUGGGCUGAAAGUUUAAAAAGAAAUAAACCUUUGUCAAUGUGGAUCACACCCUUAGAUAUGUCCACAAAGUACCAAGGAGAACCAAUGCAGAUCUCUUGAAAUCUGUGUUUGAUUCAGACUAAAUUUAUUAAGAUAGAAAUCCAAGAAGAUUCCAUGUGCUUUAAAAGCUCAUUUUCCCUUAGUAUUUCAAGAAUUUUGUGACUCGUAAAUCGCAAGGAGGAGAGACCAAAAUUUAGGAAUCUAAGGAAAGUCAUGGUGCUUUAAAAGCUUAUUUUUACCUUAGUGUUCCAUACUCUCGCGGCUCGUAAACCGUGGAGUAAAAAAUUGAAAUGUCCUCGAUUAUAAUCAAGGCUUCUUUCAAGGAUGUGUGCGGAUUUAUUAUUUCCUAGAAAAUUAUUUUGGAUAUUUACUACUGAGGGUUUCUUUAUCCAAAUAUUAACAGUGAAUAAUAACAAGUUAUUCCCAAUAAUAUUUUGGAUAUUCAUCCCUUUGGGAUUUCUUUAUCCAAACAUUAACGGUGAAUAAUAGAUGAAAAUCCCCCCAAAAUAAAAAAUUUUGUAUUUUUUGAAAUAUUGGCCAAUACCCUUUGGAGUUUUACAAACAUGUUGUAAAAUCCAAAAAUGCAAGAAAAUAAUUUUUGUUGUGUUUAAGAAAUCCGUGUGAAAACACAUUUUUGAAACUUCCAAUAUUUUUUUUUAAGAACGUUCAAAACAUGUUAGGGUAUUGGCCAUAUGCAACACACAAGAAAACAUGUUUUUUAGAUAUAUGUAUAUUUGUCACAGUGCAUCGAAAACCGGGUAUUCUAAAUACGAGAUUGAUAUAUAUUUUUUUACAAAAUAAAAAAAAUUCAGACCUUAAAAUAAAUAUUCCAGAAAAUCAUAAAUCUCUUUCUCUUUCUUUUAUUUUUUUUUUAAAGAAAAAAAAAAGAAAAAGAAAACAGCAUGUUCGGCUGGGUCACUUGCCCAAGCAAGUGACCCGGUUUGGACACAAAAAAAGGAGCGCAGUCUUCUCAAUGAACAAGGCAAAAUGCAUGCAAAUAGACCACGUUACUGUUCAAGUGAAUUAAAAUUCACUUGAACAGUGCAAACACAAAGCAAAAAAAUGCAUGGUGCGGGAGGUGAAGAGAACAGACCUGGGAACGAAAGGACAACGGCGAUGUUUGAAGGCUUGCUGGCUAGUCGAUCAGUGUUGCCUCUACUUCAGCUCUUUCCCCCUAUUCUUUUUUGGCGUUCUUCUUCUGAGCUUCACCUCUGCAAUCUUCGUUCCUCUCUCUUUCUUCUGGUUUUCUGCACUUUCUUCUUCCCUGUUUUGCAGAUCUUAUAUGCAAAAAAUGAAAGCAAAGACCGAAAGGCAGUCCCUGCUGGUUUAUGGUUUCUCUUCUUUUUUUCGUUUUUCCUGCGCUUUCUCCCUUUUUUUUUGUCUCGUUUUCUGUGUUUUCUUUCUCUCCCUCUCUGGUAACUGAGAUGGAUAAAGACAAUGGUACUGCAGCUUCUGCGCACAGCCGGUGGUCACUGCUUCUGGGGACAGUGAAAACGUUGGCCACGCUGGUUGAUGAUCUCUAUUCCUUUUCUUUCCUUCUGCUGAUGCUCUCUGUGGAGAUGAUGAGGGAGACGACGAUGAAAACGUGCUAUGCUGGUUGAGUUCACGCCCCUGCCUCUGUUUUUUUUCUGCUUUUGACAGUGGCGUUCUGCUUUCCUUUUUCUUUCGUUCCUCUCCUUUCUUUUUCUGCCUGGCUUCACAUCUCUCUUUUUUUCUGUAACUUUGUUCCUGUGAAGACUUUCACAGUCGAAAAGAUGAACCCUUGCUCUCUGCGUUUUUCCCUCCUCUUUAGGUCAACAGCCGAGGCUUCUAUAUAGCCUAUACAUGGCUUUAUUUAGGAAACAAAUAUUACAUUAACUCUAAGGUGUAUUCUCGGGUGAGCAGAAAUAGGAAACCAUAAUGUUUGAUUCUGAUUUUGUGAUCAGCAGUGAUUUCUUUCCUAGUUAGAGGAUGGUGUGGCUCUUUUCUUUCCUUCCAUAGGGCCAGCUGCUUCCUUUGAAAUGAGGCAACAAAAACGUGGUCUUCAGCUCCAAAAAUCAAGCGUGAUGAGAAAGGAAAACAGCAGAGAAAAAGAGGAAAGAAAUCAGAUGGAGGGUGCAGCUGCAAAGUAGUCCUAUUUUCCUUAUUCGUGUGAUAAAAAUCCUGUCAUUUAUGAUGAUCCAGCCCCCCUCUCCAGCUUUCAAUGUCCUUCUUCAAUUCAAUCCUUCAAUUUAGCACAUUUCGAUUCAGUCCUUGGUCCACAAAAAAUCCUUCGAAUCAGUCCCGCGAACUUGGGCAAAAAUCCUUCUCGCGGCCAGGAAUCCCUGCUUUCAACACUAGAUAUUCAAACGGGAAUAUCCUGAGCUUUUGAUAUUGAAAUCAAGCGAUUCAAAAGCCCAAAUUCAUCUACGUGUCCCAGAAUACAACUUUGAUGAAGGAUUCAAAGUGAGAUAAAUUUUUUUUGAAUAACGGAAUUGCAACCAAACUCGGCUGGAAACCUUCUCGCGGCAAGAUUCUAUGUUUUCAUGCUAGAUUUCAAACAGGAAUAUCUUGAGUUUCUGAUAUCGAAAUCAAGCAAUUCAGAAGCUCAAAUUCAUCUACGUGUCCCGGACUACAAAUUUGAUGAAGGAGUUGAAGUGAGAUAAAAUCAUUUUAGAGAACAGAAUCUGCCAGUAAUCUAGUUGGUCAAAAAGGUUCUUGAUCUGACGAUGCUGAGCAUCCAAAUCUAACUGAGAAUUUUCCCUACGAACAAUGAUCCCUAGGACCUAAUAAAGGUGUACGUUAAUUUUUUAACAUAUCAUGAGUGACAGAAUAUACUUAGGAUGGUCAGAUAUCAUACGAAACCGAGUCAGAAUCAGAGCCUAAGUUGGAACAAAAAAUUGGGACAACAGCAGAAUCAUUUUUUUAACGCAAAUUCUGAGGGAUUUAUUCAACCUUAAAGACCAGAUAAAAAAGAAAUGAAUUUGGCAUUAUGAAGACUUCUGAUCAAUCUAAGAAAACCUGACGAUUUUGGUAGUAAAGGGGAAGGAUAAAAAGAGCAGAAAACAGCUCAAACAAGGUUUCAAAAAAACAAAAUAUUUCUUUUUGUGCUUUUGUCAAUCUUCUGGCGAAUAUGAGCUAAACUCCUACACUCUGUUCAAAAGAGGUAUACACCGUCUCCAGCACGUGGGGUUCAAAAUUGAGUAAAAACAUCAAGCACUAAGUAUAUAUAAUAAUUUAUCCUCUUAAAAAAUACAUAUAAACUAUCCUAUGUAUAACCAUGAACAUAUUUAAAUUUUAAAUAUUGGCACUUUAAUUAGCUGUAGUUUUCUAGAAAGUUUGUUCUACUUUUCAUCACGUGAAGAAUGAGAGGGUUACGCUGGGUGGGCUGGGUCACCUGCAGGAUUGGAUAACUUGCAGUUGCUAACUUUUGUCACUUUUAUUUUAGUUUGUUUUGGUACUUUUAUUCUGUUAGAAAUGUUUUGUAUUUAUGUAUAUGAUAUGUUCUGUUUUUAGGUGUGUUUAAUCUCUAAUUGUUUGUUACUAGUUUUUUUUUUUUUUGGGUUUUUAAUACACGGUUUUGCUUAUUUAAAACAGCCAAAAGUUAUCAAUAAAGGAGGAAAUCAAUUAAUAUCUAAACCUUGUGGUACUUUCUCACCUGAAGAGAGAAAUUAUUGUUUUAAUAAUUGCUGGACCUAUCAAUUUUGGUGCCUAAUCUUAUCAGAACUGUUGAGCGUUGGCCAAAUGAUGCAAAAGGGCUAUAUGUUAGUAUUUGGUGAUGGAUUGUGUAGGAUUAAAGAUCCAAAUGGUACUAAAGGGCCAAAUGAUACGAAAACUAUAUAUUAUCAUUAAUAGUUUAAGCAAUCACAGCCCAAUAUUUCAAAUAUUCUGUUGCCUCCCAAAAAAAAAAUGCUUUUGUUUAUUUAUUUUGUUUAUACAACAAGGCGAGAAUUUACCUACCAAAUGAAGUCAGGUGAGAAUUUUUUCACCAGGUAGAUACUUGAUAGGAGCCGGGUGUUGUAACUUAUUUUUGGGUCCCCCGCAAGAAAAUAAAAAAAUGUAUUCGGAAGAAAAAUAAAAAAUAAUAGCACUGAAAAAAAGGAUGUCAAAGCGCCUAGAAAAUGGUCAAAAAUUGAUUGAGGAGCUUCAAAAAUAUAAUGAUUGAAAAUUUGACAGUAUUUUACUAACUGAUGAGAGCCCCGUUGAUGGAGAAAAUUUGAUUUGAGAAAGAAAAUGCCAAAAUCAGAUGUUUAUGGACUCAAUUAAAUUUUAUUGAAGGUUUAAUUGAAUUUAUGGAGGAUUUGAUUGCAAGGAAAAUUGAUUUUGGAGUUAAUUUGGGCUUUAAUUGGAAGAAAUUAAAGUUCUGGGGUCAAAUUAUAAUUUUUGAGAGUUAAUUUGGUCAAAUCAGGGGCUUAAUUGCAUAAAUAUUAAAGUUUGAUGGCCAAUUAGGGACUUAAUUGAAGAAAUCUGAAACCAAGGACCAAACUGGAAAAGGCGUGUAAUUAUAGGGGCUGUAAUUAAACCCGGAUCAGGGGUCAAAUUGAAGAAAUUAGAAGUUUAUUACUCAAUUGAGGGUCAAAUUGCACUAAUUCGAGACUAAGGACCAAUUUGGAAAAGGCGGCCAACUUCAAGGCCGACGAUUGAAUUUAACAGGGAUGCAAUUGAAUUGAUUUUUAAAAUCAAAAUUUGCAAUUGAGGACUCGAUUGAACAAAUCACAAAUUGAGGACUGAUUUGUACUUUUACAUAAGUUUGGCGUCGUUUUCAUUUAAAUGAAACGGCGUGUUUUGCCCAAAACGGCGCCGUUUCAUACACUAUUCAUUUUAUAAAAAAAAAAAAGGCCGAAAUGGUGCCGCUUUGAAGGCACUGUGGGUCUUCUUCUUCCCCUGAACGCGCGAAGCAGGGGAAGAAGAAGAUCUUUUCUCCCCUGUUUCUCACUGACUUACUGACUUCCCUUUCCCCGAUAAACCAAAAUGACGUCGACCAAGGACCCUCCACCUGCACAGCUUUCCACGUGUUAGAGUUAGGGGAGGAGUGGUGUCCCUAGGGUGGUAGAGGGGCGGCUGAACAGUGGCCGCCCCGUCCACCCUACACCCCUGCGCCAUUGACUGGGCAGGGGUGGAGGUCUUCCUUUCUACCUUAUAAAUACAGGGGAGAAAGGGGACACAAGGUGACGAAAAAAAGAGGAGAGGGAGAGAAACAGAAGGAUAGAAAAAAGAAAAAUAAAAAUAGAGUAAGAGAGAGAGAGCAAGAAAAAAAAACAGAGAAAAAAAGCAAAAAAAAAAGAGCAAAAAAAGGAAGAAGGAGAGCAGGAGGGACGAACGAAAGGAAAAAAAAAGGAAAGCGAAGAGGGAAAGGAGAGAAACGAAGAAGACAGACGAAGAAGUGGAGCAGGGGAGAAGCAGAGGAGAAAAGAAGUAGCGCCACCGGGUCCAGCCAUCGUCUUCGCCACCGCAGAAGACAACAGCCAAGCCUCUUCAAGCCAGGUACUGCUUCUCUCCUUCUCUGCUCCGUCUUCUAUUUUCCUUUCAUUUGCAUGCAGAACGUGAGCAAUUCACGUUCUGCAGCAAAUGAAUAAUUGGCUGGUUACUGUGCUGCGCAAAGUAACCAGCCAAUUAUAAGCACAGUAACCAGCCAAUUAUAAUUGUUUGGGCCGGUGUUGGCCCAUUUUGCACAAUGGGCCGAUGCUGGCCCAUUUUUAUCUUUUGGGCCAAUUGGCCCAUUUGUUUUAUGUUGGGCCGGUGUUCGCCCAUUUUCAUUUUCUUUAUGUUGGGCUGGUGCCGGCCCAUUUCAAUUAAAUACACUGUAACAAUACAAAUCAGGUAUUAAAAUACACGGUUUUCGUCAACAAAAAAAAUAAACAAAAAAAAAUAUUUUUCGUGCAUACGGCCAAGCGUCUCAAAGCUAAAAAAUCAUAUCGUAUUUUUUAUCAUACACUAAAGAAAUGUUUUAGCAUGCAUUUUGACUUUAAUAACCAGUUUAUUAAAGUCAAGAGAACAUUGGCCAAUAUUUCAAAAAACAUCAAAAAAAUAUUUUUGUUUGGUUUUAAUACCAGAGAUUAUGAAUUUAUACGUAAAACGUAUUCCUAGUAUUAAAAAGUUUUUUUUAAUAAUUUGCUUAGAUUUUUUUUUUCAGACCAUAAAACAAUGCAGUUUAUCUUAGGUAGGGCGUAUUUAGGGUGCUAAUACUUUCCCUUUAUGCAACCAGUCUCUGUACCUCGUCUCUGAGACCAGUUAGGGUUCCUAGUAAUCAAAAUACUAGGUGGCGACUCCCAGUCCAUAUUUUAUUAAUAAGAGACAAGAAUUCCUUAUCUUUUCAUAUUUGCCAGAUAGACUAGACAUUAAAAAAAAUUUGUGGUUGGAUCAUCGUCACGGCACCACAUACGUGCAACAGGGAAAACUCCAUAAGUAAAUAAUAUUUCCACUGCUCAAUUGUAGACGAAGAUAUUGAACCGUCAAGGGGAUGAUGAAGGAGAUGAUAUGGUGGUGAAGGUAUCACUUUUGACUCUUGUUUGUUAAUGCCAUCACCCCCCUCUGAAUCUUCAAACGCAGACUCUUCUUGGUUGUCAAUGUCAUGAUCCCUCUCUGACCCUUCAAAUGAAUCUGUCUUAGAAUGGUAGUCUAACGAAUUAUACCUCCAUUGAUCUUUAUUUUUUUAUUAUUAUUUACUUUAUUUUAAAAUAAUUUAUGAAAUUAAAUUUUUUUUUAAUUUCAUCCUCUUUUUUUUAUAAGAUUUGGUCUCUAUUUUUAAUAAAAUAAUUUAUAAAAUUAGAUAUGUUUUUCAAUUUCAUCUUCCUUUAAUUUUUUUAUCAAUCAAAUUUUUGGUCACCAUUCUUUUAAUAAACUUGAAAACAAAUAUUAAUAAGUUUUUUUUUCAUGACUUGGUUAAAUAUUAGAAAAUAUUUCACAAUUUAUUUUUUCGUGACACUACUAAACAUCAGAAAAUAAUUUAUUUUAUAGAAAUUCAUUUUAUAUAUAAAUUAUUUUUCAAAAAAAAUUUAUUUUCUAACAAACAAUCAUCUCGUAAUACUCAAAGCACUUUCUUUGUAAAAAAACAUAUAUUUCCUAGGGGUUUUGGGAGGGCUUUACUUGUAUCCAAGGUAAUGUGUAAGUUGGACGCCAUGAGUGAAGCUAGCCUAAACUCCAAAUCGCAAGUCUACGAUGAAAAAUGGUUAAAACUCCAACUGAUAAUAAUCUUAAUACUGUAAAGUCUUAAUAGUAUUAGAAUUCUUAAGAAUUUUAAAUUUUAUAAAUUUAAAUCCUAAUUGAUAUUGAAAUUCAAUAAUCCUAACAUAAUGAUAACAAAUAUGGGUGACUUUAACUCAUGCACUUGGAAUUAAAAUAUCCAUUUGAAAUAUUUAAUAACUAGUUAUUAUGUCAGAUAGGGAGAGAUUGAGGCUUCACACAGAGGAUACAUAGUAAUGGGGGAGGGUGAGAUUGAGGCUUCACACAGAGGAUACAUAGUAAUGGGGGAGGGUGAGAUUGAGGCUUCACACAGAAGAUACAUAGUAAUGGGAAGGUAAAUACACUAUCAAAUCUUGUAACAUCAUCAUUGAUAGAAUUAAGUGCCUUGUUAUAUGAAUUCACAUUUAUGAAGAGGAAUAACUUCACCGAAGAUUGAAAUGUUCUCAUGGCUGUUAUUUUGUUACCUCCAGACAUUAGGAUAAUCAUUAAAUUUAUUUUUUUAAUAGUGACGGUGAUGUCCGGGUGUGACAAAGUAUAAUAUGCCACAUCCAUAUAUUAAAAACAGUCAAUAUAAGUGGUUUCGUGAAAAAUGUUGAUAUGGAAAAUUAAAUGGAGGCGGCUUCCCUAUUUGAAGUUUUAACCUCUAAGGAGAAAAAUAAAAGUCACUAACUAUACAGUGUUCUAAAGCAUUUGGUAGUAAUCUUGACUAAAAUUGGCAAAUGUUAAAUUAGACUACGUACCAAUCACUCAAGUGUCAUUUUGCAAUUUUACUUUAGGGAUAACUUCUCGAUCGUACAUAAGUUCCCAACUUAAAUUGGGUCCCAGGGAAUUCCUUUUGUAUUGGAAAUUCUCAAUCUCAUGAUCGGAUCCGUCUAUCGAAAUUCAUAAUAUUUUCUCUCUCUCUCUUUUUUAUUAAAAUUACAAUUAUUGGAGGAAACUCUUGAUUUUUUGGCUCAAUAAUAACUCAACCAACUUUCUUACGUAUCCCUUCCCUGCGAGUAAAAACCUUUUUCAACUUAAAAUUUUCUAUUCAAGUUGAAAACCUAGAGUCAUAAUUGUAUAUAUAUUUUCAUGUUGUAUUUUCAAACGUGUCACCUUAAGCUUUGAAUUGUCACUUUAACAAAUGUACACCUCAAGUGUCACCUUAAGCUUUGAAUUGUCACCUUAACAAAUGUACACCUCAAGUGUCACCUUAAGCUUUGAAUUGUCACCUUAACCAUUUUUCUAUUUAAAUUGGAUCAACUCUUAAGCUUUGAAUUGUCACCUUAACCAUUUUUCUAUUUAAAUUGGAUCAACUCUUAAGCUUUGAAUUGUCACCUUAACCAUUUUUCUAUUUAAAUUGGAUCAACUCUUAAGCUUUGAAUUGUCACUUUAAAAUUUUCAAAUGUACACCUCAAAUGUCACCUCAAAUAAUAACACGGAAAAAUUACUUCUCUUCUAUCUAUUUUUUUUAUAUAUAGUAAACGAGUGAAUUAUAUAUUAAACAACCCCAUUAAGUAGGUGAAACUGAAUGAAAGAUAAAUACAAUGGGAAUAUAAAAGAAAAGAGAAGACCAAAGCGACGAGGGACCUAAUUAAUUAGUCCAGUUCAUAAUACAUUCAGGAUUUCUAAAAAGAUUUGAGCCUGUAUAGCUGAAAUUUCUAACUGAAGACUUCAACCAGAAGGCCAAACGGUGAAAGGUGAGAUCAAAAAUCAUAUCCCAAUCCGGAGCCUUGGAUUCAAAGAUUAGGCGGUUGCGCGCUAUCCAAAUUGACCAGUACAGACCUUUGCAAAGGAGGGUAAUAGCACGUCGCUGAAAAUUUCCAUUAAUCAAACCGGACCAUUCCUGUAGAUGUUGAUAUGGGUCUUUGUGCAGACAACCUAAGCACCCAAACCAGUUCAAGAAACGACCCCAAAGAGACCAUGUUAUAGGACACCAAUGGAAGAGAUGAUUAAUUGUCUCAAUUUCCUUGCAGCAGAAUGGGCAGUGAGAUUCCUCAUAUUUAAUGAUUCUCCUCUCAGCUAAAAAACUCCGUGUACUCAAACUGCCAUGAAGUAGAAGCCAUAUGAACACAUCCACUUUUGGAGGAGCAUAACCAUUCCAUAGCAGAACAGGGGAGUGAUUAUUUUCAGUUACCGAUAGACUAUCAAAAAGAGCGCAACCUGAUUGAGCUGAGUACAUGCCAGAGCUGUGAAAUUUCCAUACCUUGCGGUCUGCACCAUCUGAGAAAAUUUCCAUACUUCUCUUCUAUCUAUGUCUAGCAGUAUUAAGAAAAAUUAAGUUUCAAAACUAUAUACAAGCCAUUAGAGCCAUUAAAUUUGUGGGAUCUGUCAUCCAAUUCUGCCCUAAGAUUAUAAUAUGAUGUUUCACAAUUUGUUUUUUAACUUUUUAAUUCUCUGUGUUUUUUUUACUGAUAUGUAUCUUAUGUCUCAAGGAAUAAGGCCGUGAAAAGUUCGGCCAACAGAAGCUUCAAGCCGCCGAUUCUCUCUCAUCAGCCAUUAACGGCGAGUACGACCACCAUCAUCAGAAUCCUCUCCUCCAGAUCUACUAGAAACUGCCCUCUUUUGCCCGUGAUCUGGCUGAAUAAUUUUGUCGCCUUCCAACAGUGGUUGCGCUGGGCUACACGCGCCACUGGGUCAAUUUUGUAAAUUUUAUGAGAAGUCCAGGAGUAUCUCAGUCUUUUUCCUAGUCAGGGUAUUUCUUUAUAUACAUGUAUUUUUUUUUUGUAUUUUAUAAAAUGCCCAAAAUAAAUAUAAAAAAAUAAUGACGCGGGUUCAACAUCCAUUUAUCUUGUCAUCGCGUGCGGUCCAACAUCCAUUUAUCUUGUCAUCGCGUGCGGUCCAACAACCAAAUCUCAAAUAUGAGUUAUGCCUAAUUUUAGUAAUAACAAUUUAAAUUUUUUUAAAAUAAAUAUUUUUCAUCUACACGUUUUUUUUUAUAAAAAAAAUGAUGUGAAAACUGCAAUUCUCUUUUUCAGAGUUAAAGGUUAACCUUGUCAAAGAACCAUCUCAACCCAAUAGCUUAAGCUGUUAGGAAUUUUUAUUAAAUAAAUGGGGAUGGUGAGAUUCGAACUCGUGACCGCUUGGCCAUCAAGGCUCUGAUACCAUGUCAAAGAACCAUCUCAACCCAAUAGCUUAAGCUGUUAGGUGAGGUCCCAGGAUAUGAUUUAUAUUAUUCUCUAACAAACCUUUUAGAUGAGUUUUUUAUUUUUGAAGAUUGAUAUCAUUUUGUUGUUUUCUAUUUUUGACAAAUCACAUAUUCAAUUUUAAAUUAAAUAAAAUUGAAAAGUAAACAUUUUCUUGCACGUGAAACUAUGAAGAAGUUACAAGGAGUUGGUGGGAGGUUGGUGACUUGGUGGCGGAGGUUGGUGGUGGGGACUCUAGUGUACAGUUUAUACCGUAGUUAAUAAUUAAUUAUUAUUUUUAGAGAUUAAUAUCAUUUUAUAAACAAGCUCAAAAUAUUAUAAUAUUUGAAUAAAAAAAAUACAUAUAAGAGUAAUUUUUCUCUUGAAAGUAUGUUUUAAGAGUAAUGUUUAUUAUUUUUAAUCAUAAAUAAUUUAGAACCUGAAUUUUUAGGAUUAAUAUCUAAUUUAAAAUUUUUAGUUCCCUUAAAUUAUUAUUACAUAACAACUCCAAUAAAAUCUUAAAUUUUAGGAAUAGUGUGACGACCUAGUCUAUGGACAAUAAUAAGAAACACACGCCAUCAUUUUAUAAAAGAAUUAUAAAAAAGGUGUAAAUGUAGUGUAUACACAAACACGUGUGAAUGUUGUAUAAAUAUAAAGAGGAGGUUGGAGUUUUCAUCACUAAAAUUUUUCGAGUCCAAAACACUUUGGAAUGGCUCCCACCCACUUGGAUUCAUCGUUUAGCACUCUCCCCACAUUAGCAUCUCCUAGUCGAUCCUUGGUAGAAUCUGUAUCAAGCAAGAAUUCUAAAGGUCGAUGCAUGGUUGCCACCGGAGAUGAUGACCAAAUUGUCCGGAGGUCGGGAAAUUACCAAACUUCCAUGUGGGAGUAUGAUUUUGUUCAGUCACUGACUAGUAAAUAUAAGGUAUAAUUGUUUGUCCUUGUAAUCUCAUGUUAUUUUAGUGUCACGCAACUUGAGUUGAAUACUUGAAUUUGAUGUUGUUUAGGGAGAGCCGUACAUAGCGCGAAGCGAAAUGCUGAAGGCAAACAUAAGGAUGAUGCUGGCGAAUGCAUCGAAACCCUUGGAUCAACUUGAGCUAAUCGAUACCUUGGAAAGACUUGGAUUAUCUUACCAUUUCGUUGAUGAAAUAAAGAGCACUUUGAAGAGCUUAUUUGAUGAAAAUCAUAUAGAGAAUACAGAGACAGUGCAUGAUUUGUAUGCUACUGCUCUAGAAUUUCGACUCUCAAGGCAGCGUGGAUAUCAUGUGCCUCAAGGCAAGUCUUUUCAUCAUUGUAGAUAUCGAUGGUUAUAUGCAUUCUCAUGAAUAAUUGUGUUAAGGUUUGUGUUCUCCAUUUGUAGAGGUUUUCAAUCAUUUCAAGGAUGAACAAGGAAACUUUAGGGCAUGGAUUCAUGACGAUUUGAAGGGAAUGCUAAACCUGUAUGAAGCUUCAUACUUCUUGGUAGAAGGGGAGAACAUAUUAGAAGAUGCAAGAGACUUCACCACCAAAAAUCUUGAAAACUAUGUCAAGAAGUGCAACACUACCGAAUAUCUUUCAGAGUUGGCGAGCCAUGCCUUGGAGCUUCCAUUGGCUUGGAGGAUGCUAAGAUUGGAGGCCCAUUGGUUCAUCAAUUUGUAUGAAACUAAAACUGAUAUGGAACCUGUUUUGUUAGAACUAGCAAAACUAGAUUUCAACAUGGUACAGGCAGUACUCCAAGAAGAUCUGAAAGAUUCAUCUAGGUACGUAUAAUUGAGAAGAUACUUCAUAUUAUUUUAUAAAUUGGAAGCAAAUUGAACUACAAAUAAAAACUAAUAUUAUUCAAUUAAAUUGUACGUAACAAUUUAAACUUUUCGAUUUCAUGAUCCCCCAUUGUUAUUAAUUUAAACAAUAUUUAGAUUUGAGGGUUCACUAAUGUUAUAAAAUUUAAUCAAGUUUACUUUAUAUAGCUUCUCUCUCACGGUGACAGUUUAAUUUCUUGACAUGAAAAGGUGGUGGAAGAUGACAGGACUUGGAGAAAAGUUGGAUUUUGCCAGGGACAGGCUGAUGGAGAAUUUCUUAUGGAGUGCGGGGAUCAUAUUUGAACCUCAAUUUGGUAAUUGCAGGAGAAUGCUAACAAAACUUAAUUCACUUGUAACAACAGUUGAUGAUAUUUAUGAUGUCCAUGGUACCUUAGAUGAGCUUGAGCUAUUCACAGAUGCCAUUGUAAGGUUUGUGCAGCGCCUAAGUCUUGGGCUCUAGGGUACAUUUAUAAUUAAUGCUAUAUUAGUAUUGCACCGUUUUAUUUUUUGUUUUUUGUUUUUUUUUAUGUUUAAAUUUCAGAUGGGAUCUUAAUUUCAUGGAUGUUCUUCCAGACUAUAUGAAAUUAUGUUUUUUUGCAUUGUUCAAUUCGAUAAACGAAGUUGCUUAUGAUAUUCUAAGAGAUCAAGGAGUUGACAGCCUCCCUUACUUGAAGAAAGCGGUAUUUGUUUUUUUUAUUUUUUUUAAUUUUAGUGAUAUUUUAAAAAUAAUUAAUCAUUUUUUUUAAUGGAAUAUAAGAUUAUCUUUGAUGCAAUAUAAAGUGAAAACAAAGAAUUAGAGUUUGUUAAGUUUUAAGGUUACAUCUCCUAACUAUAAUUCAUAAAAUUAUAAUGAAAAAACAACACAUCAACUACUUAUAUAAUGAUAAAAGUUGAUCUAAAAAAAUAAUUUAAAACUAAGUAGAAAUUAUAAUUAAAAUUUGAAAAUAUCAGGAGAUAAUUAAAAUUGAAAAGACAACAUCUAUUAAGUCUAAUUUAAGGACUCUCUUGACCUCUGAUGAUUAUAACUUGCUGAUUUGAUCUUCUAUAGAACUGGGUAUAGAAAACUCCCUAACUAAAUUUGAACUCAAUCCAGAAUUCUGAUCUAAAAUUAUAGAUGUUUAAUUGUUAGACUAGUUGCUUGGCAUGUCUGAACUAUUUUUUGAGUUUUGUCAUGUCUGUAUGAUCCAUAAGAGCACAUCUGUAAUACGUUUCACAUCAGUCUUUCUCCUAAUUAAGGAUUUAAUUGUUUUCUUCUAAAUUGUUUUGUACUUGUAAAUUAUCAAGCUGAUAUAUUUAUGUGCCAUUCUUAAUUUUCAGUGGGCAGAUUUAUGUAAAUCAUAUUUGUUGGAAGCUAAGUGGUACUACAGUGGAUAUACACCAACUCUUCAAGAAUACUUAGAUAAUGCAUGGAUUUCAAUUGGAGUACCACUGGCUAUUGUUCAUGCAUACUUUUAUGCUCCGAAUCCAACAGCAGAGGAGGCCUCGCAUUUCACGGAGGAAUACCCAGAUAUAAUUCGAUGGUCAUCCAUGAUUGUACGCCUUGCUGAUGAUCUUGGAACCUCCUCGGUAUGCUAGACUUCUCCCACUCCGAGACAUAGUUUCGUCCUUCCUUAUUUAUUUUGGUGGAGAUAAUGGUUAUUUGUUUUUUAGUUUUUUAAGAAUAUAAAGCUAAUUUUCUAUUUCUCUUUUACAGGAUGAAAUAAAAAGAGGAGAUGUUUCCAAAUCAAUCCAAUGUUACAUGCACGAAACUGAAGCUUCUGAAGAAGAAGCUCGUGAUCAUAUAAAGAAAUUAAUCAGCUAUGCAUGGAAAAAAUUAAAUGCUUCUCAAUUUUCUAAUCCCCAUAUCUCUCAAACUAUCAUUGGUGUUGCAGUCAACCUUCCACGAACGGCACAAUGCAUUUACCAAUAUGGAGAUGGGCAUGCUAUUGAACAUCUUGAGACCAAGGAUCGGGUGAUGUCCUUACUUAUUAAGCCUUUAUAAUUUCAUAAAAAAAAAAAAGGGACUAAUUAAUUUGAUAUAAUUGCUCAUGGGAGCGACUUGUAUCAAAUUAGAAAGGAAGAGUGUCCCUUGGUGUGUCAAAUAAUUAUUAGAUUCCAGAUGCUAUAUGUAAUAAAACUUGACUUCUAGAAUAAAUAAUUGUAAUUCCAACGUUGUUAUUUUCCUUCGUUAAAAUAAAAUUUCAAUAAUCAAAUAAUUAAUUUUCGAUCAUUUUAUUUUAUUGUUUAUGACUGACUAAUUUUUAUAGCUCAAAUGAAUUAGCAUCACCUAUUUUGUACCCGUCUCUCUUAUAUGAGAAAUUGUAAGAUGGAUUAUGACUAUCAAUUCAUCUAUAUUAACUAAACCGAUAAUUAUCAAUGCUUCUUGUUCUCGCACAGCGGUUUCUUUUGAUUAUUAUUUAAUACUUGCUAUCCAAUUUUUGAUCCAUGUUUUAAUAAUUUUUCAAAAAUAAAAAAAAUAAAAAUAAGAAUAAAAAUAAGGGUUUACAUGUGGCGAUAACAUAGAGCAUCAAGGCUAAUAUUAAAGAAGCAAUAUGUCAAUGAGAUAAUUACUGAAUCAUAUAUAAUUACUGCAAUAUAAAAUACCAUAGAUAUAAGAUUUGAUUCGUGCUGGUUAUGGAAAAUAAUCACUGCAAUAUAAAAUACCAUAUAUAUAGGAUUUGUUGGUACUAGUUAUAGAAGACAAUCUCUAUAAUAAUUAUUACAAUAUUCCCUUAAAUAACACGUGUAGAGAUUUUUUAUAUAAGUAAACCUCCAGUCAUAUAUAUAUAUAUAUAUAUAUAUAUAUACCGGGGAAGAAAAAUAUUCACAAGGAGGCAAUUUUUCAAAAAAAAAGAGAGCCGCACACAAAAAAAAUAAAAAAAAACCUAAACCCGUUUCUCUUUCUUAGCCGCAGCCCCUCCUCUCUUAAAAAACAAAAAAAACCGCCGCCCGUAGCCCCACCUUCUUCUCCUCCCACAGCAGCCGACCAGAUCGUUCCCCUUGCCCUCCCAUCUCUCCAGCCGCCCAUCCUCCUUUCCCACAGAAGAAAGCAGCUGCCGCCCUUCCCCUUUUUUGGGACCAAAACCAGAGAGCACCUCACGGUUCUUCUUCCCCAUCGCCAUUUUUCAGCACUCGAAACCCCCGACUCUUUUUUGUUUUUUGCCUCAGCUGACCGAAACCUUCAGCCUUCCACCAUCUCCUUCCCCCACAAGCCAACCAACCCCAGCUCCUCCACAAUACAGCCCCAGCCAUACUCUCCCCGAUGUCUGCCUCUUAAUCUCCAAAAUCAAAGCCAACUCUCCCCAUUUUUCCAGCCAAUCGCCUCCCAGACCCGCACACACUGCCUCCUCUCCAUUUCCCCUCUCCAUCGUCCUCUCCUUUCUCAGCCGACCCACAGCCAUCACAGACCGGACCAGCCACCAGCAACAGCAAAGACGCAACACUUCUACAGAGCCAGCAACCCCUCCCCUCUCCGUAGCGGCUCCACCGGACGCGGGCGACAGCAGCGAAACAACAGCCCACAGACCCACCGCUGUCCCUUUCCCCAGCGGCGACACCCACAGCUCCGACCUCUAACACUCCUUCCACAACCUCCAAAUCAGCCACCGAAGAAGGGAAGAACAACAAACCAUAACUGAAAACAGACAAAAAAAAAACAGAUCCGAAAGAGAAGAAAAAAAGAUAAAAUCAACUGUUUGCGGCCUUUUUUUUGUGUUUUGCAGGUCACCGCCGGCGAGGAAGGCAAGAGAGGAGGAAGCCGCUCCAGAUCCCCCAGCUGCCCGGACGCGCCGCCAGUGUUCCUGCUUUCCCAGAAGUGUUCCUCUGCAAUUCCUGAAUAUUUGGGGUCUAUUUUGCAAUUUUUGAAUUGUAUAUCAUGUGUAGAUUUGUUUUGAAUUUAUGUUAUUUGUAAUUAUAUAUGAGUGUACGAGAAAAACAUAAUAAAAAGGGGAUGUGUGUGUAUGUAGUUUUUUAUGUAUGUUAUUAAAUUAUAAAAUCAAAAAGAUAAAAAAAUGAAUUUAUUGUUUUAAUUUGGUGUAUGGUCGAGUAUUUGAAGGACAAAUAAAAUUAUGUUGUAUUUCUCGUGAAAAUAUAAGAACAUGUUUCUAUGUAUAUUCUGGGAUUUAAUAACUGAUUUAUUAAAGCCGUAAGAAUUUGACUAAUUUGACUUUAAUUGUGAUUAAAU